RNAcentral lists this ribosomal RNA (253 nucleotides) under uncultured bacterium. RNAcentral's name for it is "partial 16S ribosomal RNA". It matches the Rfam family "Bacterial small subunit ribosomal RNA", at positions 524 to 776 of the family's 1533-position model. The record is from RNAcentral.
UACGUAGGAUGCAAGCGUUGUCCGGAAUUAUUGGGCGUAAAGAGCGCGCAGGCGGUAUGACAAGUCAGAUGUGAAAGAGGCCGGCUUAACCGGCAAGGGUCAUUUGAAACUGUCAGACUAGAGUGCAGCAGAGGAUAGUGGAAUUCCCGGUGUAGUGGUGAAAUGCGUAGAUAUCGUGAGGAACACCAGAGGCGAAGGCGGUUACCUGGACAGUUACUGACGCUCAGGCACGAAAGCGUGGGGAGCAAAAGGG